This is a non-coding RNA of Chrysemys picta bellii (western painted turtle), 6423 nucleotides long. The record is from RefSeq and is a predicted model, not a curated record. Lineage: Eukaryota; Metazoa; Chordata; Testudines; Emydidae.
GGGGGAGGGGGACGUCUCUGAAACUACACAUGGAACACCUGCGGAGCCAGCAGGCUUUCCACAGCACUACAAGAUCUCCUUUCUGUGCCUUAUUGACUCUAGUGGGGGAUUUCUCUUAAUAGAAGGCAGUAGUUGCUAGAUUUUUGCAGUUGGAACAAAAUUAACUUUUCCGAAUAUGCCAACUGCUUGAGGAUUCUUCAGGCAAUACUGCUCAAGGCCAUAAACAUGUUCUAGUAUGAAAGUAUAUAUUGGUGGUUAAAAUGACACACUGAAGUGCAACUUGAAUUAAAAACAAAAUAUCUUCCUGGCUCCUUAAAUGUUAAAUUGUGCAAUAAUUAGUUUUAUUGUAAAUCUGGUCUGAUUCAUCUGACAUUUGCAGGAAGGUUCACAUCAAUUUCAGGAAACCGAAACAGACAUCAGUACAGGACAUCAGUGUUAUGGGAAUGUUUUGAAUCAUUAGACGUAAAAAAAGCAAAUAGUUUCGUACUUGUCCACUUCUCUCAUGACAUGUUGAGGUUUUUUGAAGAUAUAUUUAAGCAAAGGCAUGCAUCAUCCAACUCUGUCUUCCCUGAGCACUUCGAACUUGAAGUGAAAGUAGUCUUGCUAAACUUGAUGUUGCUUGUUUCAUUGGCAAUGAUUGAUGCACUCAUACUCUGUUUGUUUAUUACAAAAUCUGUCUGGAGAUCUGAGACUGGGCUGUAAGUGAUGCUCUCAUUCAAGCCAAAAUAUCAGAAAUAAUGGGAGUAUGACAACUAGACUUUCUUGAAUCUUUUCUUUAGCGGAGGACAGACUAGAGCUUUAAAGACCUUGCUUUCAAAAGGCAUGAUGUGCAAACACAUGUAUUUGCAAGCCUAAUUCACGUACACAGUUGCCACAAAUGUGCAAAUUGGGUAUUGUGGGCACAACCAGCUAUGCAUUUAGGGUCAGCUUUUCUAAAAGCAUGCCUACUCAAUGACUCUGAUUGCUCUCGAUAGGAGUUGCUGAGUGCUGGGCUCCCUUGAAAAUCCAACCCCAAUUAUGGAGGCCGAGCCCUUCUGAAAAUCUGGCCCUAAUUGGCUAAAUUUGUAAUUGCAGGUGCAAACUAAGUGCUCAAGUACAUACUCUUACAAUUGCAGUUGUGUACCUGAACUGUUAUACUUCUAGAGACCUAUUUUUGCAGCAAACGUUAAUCAGAAAAUAUGGUCACUAAAUUAUUUGAAGCUUUUGCAUGUGUUCAUGAUACAAGAUUACUGUGAUGAAUGUUUGGGUAGGUGGUUGUCUUUUAUAUGGAGGGUUUAAUGGUGUGGUCCGGGUUUUGGUUUUGUUUCAUUUCCUUUGUUUUUGUGUAUGCCGUCCCCUACAGUAAAAUUUAAUCACUCUACCCAAUCAAGAAUAGCAGAUUGGAUACUGAGUAACUUUUUAAAGCACUGAUUUAAAGUGCUAGCUAACUUAAGUCCUUUUUUGUUCCUUAUAAUAGCUUUAUUCCAACCUUUGAUACCUAAAUAAACAUAAUUUCACUCCAGAAGCAUGUUUUUUUUUCCCCUCCUAACAAUAAAAGCAAAGGGCAUGAUAUAAUUUGGAGUUUAGGAGUAGGAACAUCUUUUUAAGAAUUAUAGUAGAUAAUCUAUUCAAUUCAAUUAGUGUGUCACUUAUGAACAUAAUUGCACUAAAUAGGCAUAAUUCGACAGUUAUUUUGCAUUUGUAGUUGGACAUAAAAUUGAUAUUUGGCUUUUAUACAUUGAAGAUUAUUAAAAAGGAACUUAAAGAAGUGAUCUGGGAGAGCCAAGGAGCUGCAAAUGUCAACAAAUGUGAUACCUUACUGCAACUACUGAAUAGCAUGCAUGUACAGGUACCAACUGGAAUACUGUUUUGUGCCCCCUUACUGUAGGAAACUCAUGUUAAGCUUCUUGGUAGUUGUUUACAGAACAGUAUAUUCAAACAUUAGCAAAUGUUUUAAAAUUUAGUCACUUGUCGCAUGAUCAUAUUGUUUAAGUCUGAUUUGCAGAACAAUCCUCUUAUAAAUUGUGACUUAAGUACUCUGAACUCUCAAUGUGUCAUAUUUUAAACUACAUGAACAUUAGGCGUUAGAGUCUGUUCAUAGAAUCUUUCUUGACUAAUACUGCUUUCAGCUGCUUUUCCUGGAUAUUAGCAAAAAUUAUUUAAUACAUUUUGAAUUCAGGUGACUACAGUAGUUAUGAUGAACAUCCAAGAUCUCUCCCCUUAGGGCAAAGGCUUAAUACAAAAAGCUGUAAGAAUAUUAUAUAUGCUUCAGCAUAAUAAGAGUUCAGAUAUGGGAGCUAUAUAGUCUGUACUUUUAAAUAGAAGAAAACAAUGCAUUAAAUUGUUUCAAACAAGGGAAAGCUUUUGGGCGGGUAGACGAGCAAUACUAUGUUCCAUAGUUAGUGUCAAGAUUUGGAGGUGAGAGGAACUGUCUGCAUGCCUCUGUCUCAAGUGUAAGAGUAUUUGGAUGGCCUUUGACAUGGUGUUUGCAAAAAGAUGACCAUGUAGGGAAGUGACAGAGCACUUCAUACUGGGAUACAUAUCUGGGCAUGGAAUUCUAGGCAGAGUGCCAAUGACAUUUGUAUGUCCAGGCAAGCGUGUCUCACCAUUGAGUGGCGUAAAUAACCAGGUGGUAGGUUUCUCCGAUAUGUCAGUGGCAUCUAAAUUAGAGAGACUUUCUACAGGUCUUUCAGUGUAGAAUAAUAAUAUAGUUGGCACUGCAUGGUAGUGACUAGCUCUACAAUAUCCUUUUGUCAAGACGAGUUCUGACUCUAAACAGUCAGUUUAUAUUUGGGCCUGACUUGGACAGAGAUCUUGUCAGGAAGGUGUAGAUUAAAAUAACAUUUUUAAAAAAAAAAAAAAGCUAAAUACUUGCCUAAUUUACUUGAUAAGAAUGAUUUGAAAAUUUUGUAGAACUGAGGUGUUUAAGAUUAGAUUACAUUACCACUCUUGAAUUAGACACACCUAGAAAUAGAUGGUUGAGGAGCCAACUUUUUUACAAUCACUGGGAAGGAUGGAGAGGUCACUUACCUAUUCUUGUAAUUUUUUUUUCUGUAUUGAUGGAUUUCUGGAGUCACCCGGGUGUCAGUUUACAGUAGCUGAAAUACGUUUGGUUUCUGAUGAGAGGGAGGGGGCUGAGAGACUAGUUUAAUAUCCUUUCAGAAUGAAAUAAAGUGAGUUGAAGAAAAGGAAGGCAGCUGAUUAAGUAAACUUAGAGGCCAAGUGAAGAUGCUCUUGGCAGGUGAAACAGUGGAGACCAUGACCCACAUGUUUAUAUGCUUGAAGCCUCUACAAACAUUAAUUUUUUAAAGCAGUAUCUGUUUCAUGAAAACUACAUCUUUCAGAAAGGGUUCAGCAGAGUUAGUGGAAAAUAGGCGUAAUUUUGUGAGACAUGGACACAUUUAUGUGGGAGCCUUUUAAAAGCUCAUUAAAAAUAAUAAAACUUUAUCUUGCUCUAUUAUCACAGUAACUGAAUAUCAGAUAUCCGUAGAACUGAGUUAAUGGGUUUGGGACAUAUGCCUUAAGGUUUAUUCACUGACUUCUGGUGGGCACAGUUCUCAGUACUCAAGUGUUGAAAACAAACUUGGUGUAGCUUAGUAACCUAGAGUUGACGAAUAGAACAAAUAUCCAGAUGUUAUCCUCAAAUGGCUUUUCAACUUUACAGCUCUGCUAUAGAACUUGUCAGUUUUAAGACAGUCAAGCUUCCUGGAAAUUGCAUCCUUCUUGCUGAGUAAUUGCUGUCCAUUUUAAUAGACUAAAGUUUUUUUGUUUUGUUUUUUAUUUUAUUCAAAAUGUUAAACUUAAUUUGGUUUCACUAUGCCAAGUGAUGAGUCUGAUGUUUAACAGGUGCAUUUUGAUACAACUACUUCAGUUGUUAAAGUUUGGGGUCCAUCUGAGCAGAAUCCUCCCACAUGUUGCUCCAUGGUUGCAAGAGCCCAGUAGUCCAUCCACCUCUUUUCAGUAUGACCAGUGGACAUUCCACCGUGUUGUAAAUCCACUCCCCCCUGCCCCCCAUACUCCUGCAUUCUCCCAUGCAUGGAGUCCCUGUGUGGGCUCCUGGGAUUUCCUCUUCUUCCCUCACUUCUUACUUAACAGAUCCCCCUGUGUUUGCUGUUGGGGAUGAGCAGGUUUUAGUCCUUAAAACUUAUAGCAGAAUCAGUGAAAUGGUUGAUGUUCUUAUUCAGCUCUUUUAAUCCUUUAUUAAAAUAAAAUGGACUAUACAGAGAAUACUACUGUGAUGAGUUGGAUUUCUGUGCAGCAAACAUACUUUAUCUAUCCAUUCCAGCAUAUUAAACCAAUCUUAAUAUUUAAAUGAAUAAAAUUAAUUAAGAAAUGCUUAAACUUGAAUUGUAUAAAAGUCCAAUAUUUUAAAAAGCUAUUUCUAAGAAUAUCCAUUCUGGAACAAAUCAGAUUACAUCCUGCUAACUCAAAUAACUCAAUUAGUGUUUUAACUCUUGAAAACUGAUUACUGAUUGUAGUGUAUGUACUAUUUAGUGUAUGUUUUAAAGUAUGUUGUAAAAAUGCCUGCUGUAAUGAGUUCUCCUAAAAGCAGUCUCUAAACAGCUUUCCAGGUGCAUUCAAACUGUAGUAAUAUGAAAUGAAUCCAUCAAUCUUUGUACAGUUGAGGGCAUUUGGGAAAAGAUUUGCAGUUCACCUUUUAACAUUAGGAGUGCAAAUCAUCUAGGCUUUUGUGGCAGAGCAUUUUGUUACAGCAUUGUUGUGGGUUUUUUUGUUUGUUUGUUUGUUUGUUUUUAACCAUUUAUCUUAUUUCUGUAGAGCACUGAUCUUAAGUCAAAUAUUUAUUCUCGGAAGCUAAAUAUCUGUAGAAUUGACAGAUGUUCAGUGGAUAAUACCUAGAGUUGUCUGCACACCCUUCUAACAGAGCAUUUGUGUCAAAGCCAAAAUGUUCUAAUAUUUAGGGGGCUGUUUUGAUGCAUGGGAUUUGAACCUAACCUCAUUGUCCACUCCCACUGAAAUCAGUUGAAUUGUAUGAGGUUGAACCCAUGCAGAAAGAUUAGUGUCACUUCCAACACACAUUAUUUAAGAAUUUAUAAAGGGAAUAUUGAAUUUAAAUGCUUUUUCUAGGUCUUGCUGCAUUUCCCUUGUGAGUUACUGAACUAUUAAGCAGAGCUAGAGAGAAUGAGGCUGACUGGUGAGAUUCAGAACUUAUCGGCACUCGUAUACCCUGAAUAGAAUUGAUGCUUCAACAGGGCACAAACAAUACUAAACAAAAUUCUUGAAAAAUCAAGAACAUGAAAGUGUGGUGGUAGUGGGAACCCUCAACUGAUGAUGGAAUACUUCAGUGCUGGUUUUACUGUAAUCCAAAUUCAUAGUGACCUACAGAUGUUACAAUUGGUGAUCUGGAUUAUGUCUGAUUGAUUGGUGGUUUUAGUCCAGUUCUCAGAGGAGCCUUCGCAUUGACUGUGAACAAAUAUGCCAAUUCUGAAUGUUUGUGGAAACUGGAAAAACCCUCUCUUCCCGCAGGGUGGCUCUUCAGGUUGAGGUACGUUGGCGGGGAAGUCCGUACACUCAAUUGUGUUGUGCGUAGAGACAUUCGUCUCUACGUUGGCCAACCUGGCAUCUUUAAAUUGUGUUAGUUCCAUACAUCUUUUAAUUUGUCUUUAAACAACACCCAAGACCUUUGGGGUUAAGGCUGAAAAACUUUGUCUGGGGGUGUAUCAGAGUAAAAUUCUAUGUCCUGAUUUGAAAAUCUCUCAACGUAAUAAUGCUGCAGUCUUCAACCAAUAUGGGCCUGAUUGAAAUUAAUGGAAUGUCUCCCAUUGACUUAAAUGAUAUGGGAUUGCAGCUUGUAUCCUUGAUCAUCCCCAACAUACCUAGAUAUUGCAAUUGAUUAUACUGUUUAUAGAGUCAACAUUUUUACUUCUGUCUCAUAGAAAGUCCCUUCUCUAUGAUCUCAAAAUCAGAGAUCCCAAGCCUGCAAACAUUUGUUUAAUUUGAAACAUGGGAGUAGUCCCAUUGACUAUAAUGCUUAAAGUUACAUUUGUUUGUAAAUCUUUGCAGUACUAGGCCCAAAGUUAAUCUGACUAUACACAGACAAAGCAAAGGGAGGGAUGAGGAUGAGAUGCAAAAUAAACUAGGUAACCUGAAAACCAAUUUUAAACUUGGGAAUAAAAUACAGUAAAAGCAAAAUAGAUGGCACUAGAAAUAAGUCAACUGUUACCAAUAAUUUUCUCACAAUCUUACAUUAAUGAGCUGAAAUACUCAGUAAUUUCAGGUACUUAAAAGUUAGAACCAGAUUCUGAUUAAAGCUCCAGGAUCUGCAUAUCUGAUGAAUCAGUAUUUUUAGUUGCAAUAUGAAUUUGAAAUUAAAGCUGGCCCAAAAGUUUUGUAUUUAAAUCUGAAUGUCCUAAAUUGUCCACCUCAGUUCAAAAUACACACACACACACACACACACACACACACACACACACACACACACACACA